Molecule: ribosomal RNA, 429 nt
Filed under: uncultured bacterium
Lineage: Bacteria
Description: bacterial SSU rRNA
Rfam family: Bacterial small subunit ribosomal RNA
Source: RNAcentral
UGGGGAAUAUUGGGCAAUGGGCGAAAGCCUGACCCAGCGACGCCGCGUGGGUGAUGAAGGCCUUCGGGUUGUAAAGCCCUUUCGUGCGGAACGAACAGUCUCGCGACUAAUACCCGCGGGAUUUGACGGUACCGCAGGAAGAAGCACCGGCUAACUCCGUGCCAGCAGCCGCGGUAAUACGGAGGGUGCAAGCGUUGUUCGGAAUUACUGGGCGUAAAGGGCGCGCAGGCGGUUGUGCAAGUCAGUUGUGAAAUCCCCCGGCUUAACCGGGAAACUGCAUCUGAAACUGCAUGAGUAGAGUACAGAAGAGGGAAGCGGAAUUCCCGGUGUAGAGGUGAGAUUCGUAGAUAUCGGGAGGAACACCAGUGGCGAAGGCGGUUGCCUGGUCUGAUACUGACGCUGAGGCGCGAAAGCUUGGGGAGCAAACAG